Molecule: long non-coding RNA, 514 nt
Filed under: Homo sapiens (human)
Lineage: Eukaryota; Metazoa; Chordata; Mammalia; Primates; Hominidae
Description: HSALNT0034136
Source: RNAcentral
AAAAGCUAGAGACAUUUUUUUUUUAACCUCAAAGACCUUGAAGACCUCUCUAGACUACAGCCAUGCAGAUCGGCAGAUAUCAAGAAAUUUUUCAACAGUGAGAGAGGAGGGCAAUGGGCCCUCAUACAUCUACUUGCCAGUGAGAUGCAGAUAAGCACAGCCUCGAUGCAGCCAGUUUGGCUGUAUUUAUAUAACUUUAAAAUGGACAUACCUGGCCAGGCAACAACCCUGACGGGGUUGAGGACCCUGGUUAGCUAAAUAAGUGAGGAAGAGUGGAAACCAGGGACUCCCCAUCCAGACCACCAUCCACCACGGGCCUCUGUUCUUUAGCAGCACCAGAAGAGGCUCCACUCCAAGUCAAGAUUGAAGUGGUAUCUUUAGGUAGGACUGGAAAUUAUAAUUAUUAAAAUGAGACUGAGACCAAGGGUGGCUGGAACAACCUUGUGACUUGCCUAAAUUCCAUUCAGGGGCAAAGCAAGAGCUAGUCCCACCGAAUAAAUGUAAAAGAGGCUGG